This 2967-nucleotide ribosomal RNA is filed under the name Collinsella sp. AF23-2. Its description in RNAcentral is "23S ribosomal RNA". It matches the Rfam family "Bacterial large subunit ribosomal RNA". The record is from RNAcentral. Lineage: Bacteria; Bacillati; Actinomycetota; Coriobacteriia; Coriobacteriales; Coriobacteriaceae.
GCAAGAUACCACGGGCGCACGGCGGAUGCCUUGGCACAGGGAGCCGAUGAAGGACGCGGCAAGCUGCGAUAAUCCCCGGCGAGGAGCACACAUCCUUCGACCCGGGGGUCUCCGAAUGGGCGAACCCAUCCACAGAGGUGUGGAUAUCCCCACCCCGAACACAUAGGGGCGGGGAGGACAACCCGGGGAACUGAAACAUCUAAGUACCCGGAGGAGAGGAAAUCAAUCUCGAGACUCCCCGAGUAGCGGCGAGCGAAAGGGGACCGAUGGCCAAACCGUCGAGCGGGCGUACCCGGCAGGGGUUCCGCCGACGGGGUUGCAGGGCCGCGCAUCCGGGGGCUGCCGCCCCCGGGCGCAGGUCCGGCUGGGGAGCGGAACGGCAUGGGAGGGCCGGCCGCAGCGGGUGACAGCCCCGUACGCGAACCCAGACCGGACGGCGCGACGCGGUCCCUGAGUAGGGCCGGGCACGUGAAACCCGGUCCGAACCUGGGUGGACCACCAUCCAAGCCUGAGUACUACCCUGUGACCGAUAGCGCACCAGUACCGUGAGGGAAAGGUGAAAAGCACCCCGGGAGGGGAGUGAAACAGUACCUGAAACCGUGCGCCCACGAGCAGUCGGAGCACCCUUGUGGUGUGACGGCGUGCCUUUUGUAGAAUGAGCCAGCGAGUCGCUGGCGCGGGGCGAGGUUAACCGAAAGGGAGCCGGAGCGAAAGCGAGCCUUAACAGGGCGACUUGAGUCCCGCGCCGCGGACGCGAAGCCGGGUGAGCUAUCCGUGGGCAGGCUGAAGCGGGGGUAAGACCCCGUGGAGGGCCGAACGCACGUCGGUUGAAAACGGCGGCGAUGACCUGCGGAUAGGGGUGAAAGGCCAAUCAAACCCGGAGAUAUCUCGUUCUCCCCGAAAUAGCUUUAGGGCUAGCGUCGCGCGUUCACCGCCGGAGGUAGAGCACCGGAUGGACGAGGGGGCUUCGCCGCCUACCGAAUCCAACCGAACUCCGAAUGCCGGCGGCCCAGAGCGCGGCAGUCAGAGCAUGUGGGCUAAGCUGUGUGCUCGAGAGGGAAACAGCCCGGACCGCCCGCUAAGGUCCCCAAGUUCCAGCCGAGUGGCAAAGGAUGUGCGUCCGCCCAGACAACCAGGAUGUUGGCUUAGAAGCAGCCAUGCAUUCAAAGAGUGCGUAACAGCUCACUGGUCGAGUGGACAUGCGCCGACAAUACACGGGGCUAAGCUGGACACCGAAGCGGCGGGAUUUUGAUUUUCAGAAUCGGUAGGGGAGCUUCCCAUGGGCGGUGAAGCCGCCGGGCGACCGGCGGUGGAGCGCAUGGGAGUGAGAAUGCUGGCAUGAGUAGCGAGAGACGAGAGAGUAACUCGUCCGCCGUGAACCCGAGGUUUCCUGGGCAAGGCUAAUCCUCCCAGGGUCAGUCGGGGGCUAAGGCGAGGCCGGGAGGCGUAGCCGACGCGCAGCAGGCAGACAUUCCUGCACCGCGCACGCGGCGCUACGACCGACGGGGCGACGGAUGGGGGUGGCUCGGCGGGGUUCUGGACGUCCCCGUGAUGGAGCGCGGCCCGCGGACCAGGGAAAUCCGGUCCGCAGGAGGGCGAGGCUCCGGACGAAGCGAUUGAGCGAAGCGAGUGAGCCCGAGGUCCCUAGAAAAACCCCUAGGCAGGCGCGUGCGCGCCCGUACCGCAAACCGACACAGGUGGGUGGGUAGAACAUACCGAGGCGAUCGGGUCAACCAUGGUCAAGGAACUCGGCACAAUGGCCCCGUAACUUCGGGAGAAGGGGUGCCCGCGCGUACGUGAACGGACUUGCUCCGGGAGCGGAGGCGGGCCGCAGUGGAGAGGCCCAAGCGACUGUUUACCAAAAACACAGGACUCUGCAGAAGCCGCAAGGCGACGUAUAGGGUCUGACGCCUGCCCGGUGCCGGAAGGUCACGCGGAGGAGUUAGCCGCAAGGCGAAGCCCCGAAGCCAAGCCCCGGUAAACGGCGGCCGUAACUAUAACGGUCCUAAGGUAGCGAAAUUCCUUGUCGGGUAAGUUCCGACCUGCACGAAAGGCGCAACGACUUGGGCGCUGUCUCGACCAUGGACCCGGUGAAAUUGCACUGGUCGUGAAGAUGCGACUUACCCGCGGAAGGACGGAAAGACCCCGUGAACCUUCACUGCAGCUUGGCAUUGGCCGCUGGUCCCGCGUGUAGAGGAUAGGCAGGAGGCACAGAUCCGGAGGCGCCAGCCCCCGGGGAGCCGCCCUUGGAAUACUGCCCUCGCGCGACCGGCGUCCUAACCCGAGGCCGUCAACCGGCUCGGGGACCGUGCCAGGCGGGCAGUUUGACUGGGGCGGUCGCCUCCUAAAGGGUAACGGAGGCGCGCGAAGGUCCGCUCGGGACGGUCGGCAACCGUCCUUUUGAAUGCAAGAGUACAAGCGGGCUUGACUGCGAGGCCCACAAGCCGAGCAGGUGCGAAAGCAGGCUCUAGUGAUCCGGCGGCCCCGAGUGGGUGGGCCGUCGCUCAACGGAUAAAAGGUACUCCGGGGAUAACAGGCUGAUCUUGCCCAAGAGUCCACAUCGACGGCAAGGUUUGGCACCUCGAUGUCGGCUCAUCGCAUCCUGGGGCUGGAGCAGGUCCCAAGGGUACGGCUGUUCGCCGUUUAAAGCGGUACGCGAGCUGGGUUCAGAACGUCGUGAGACAGUUCGGUCCCUAUCCUCCGUGGGCGCAGGAGAAUCGAUGGAGGCUGCCCCCAGUACGAGAGGACCGGGGUGGACGCACCUCCGGUGAACCGGUUGUCGACCAACGGCACGGCCGGGUAGCCGCGUGCGGCGCGGAUAACCGCUGAAGGCAUCUAAGCGGGAAGCCGUUCCAGGGAUUAGUUCUCCUUCCGGUAAGGGCCCAGGUAGACUACCUGGUCGAUAGACGGCAGGUGCAAGGCUGGCGACAGCCUCAGCCGAGCCGCACUAAUCGCCCGAGCUCUUCC